UACAUGGGGUGCAAACGUUGCUCGGAAUUAUUGGGCGUAAAGCGCGCGUAGGCGGUUACUUAAGUCGGAUGUGAAAGCCUCGGCUUAACUGAGGAAGUGCACCCGAAACUGAGUAGCUAGAGUACGAAAGAGGGUCGCGGAAUUCCCGGUGUAGAGGUGAAAUUCGUAGAUAUCGGGAGGAACACCGGUGGCGAAGGCGGCGACCUGGUCCUUGACUGACGCUGAGGCGCGAAAGCGUGGGGAGCAAACAGGAUUGAG
RNAcentral lists this ribosomal RNA (258 nucleotides) under uncultured bacterium. RNAcentral describes it as "partial 16S ribosomal RNA". It matches the Rfam family "Bacterial small subunit ribosomal RNA", at positions 524 to 782 of the family's 1533-position model. The record is from RNAcentral.